AGCCACGACUGAACCAUGUGCCAGUCCUAAUUUAUCCACACGCCCACAUCACUUGAAGCACGUGUCAGCCCUCUGGAGCCACCUGCAUGCCAGCCUGAACCACGUGCCAACCAUGCCACAACCAAGUGUGAGCCACGCCUGAGCAGCACCACAGCCAUGCAUGAGCCAGAACUCAGCCCUGAGGGAGCCAUGUGUGACAAACGCCUGAAUCGUGCGUCAGCCACAUGUGACCAAGUUCUGUGGUGUGCCUGCAUCACGUGUGAGCCUUAGCUGAGCUGCAACUGAACCAUAUGUGGGCCAUGCCUAAAUCAUGUGUGAAAGCCUCCUGCAGCAUUUGUGACCCAGACAAGUCACGAGUGAGCCAUGCCUGAAUUACUUCUGAACCGUGUGUGAGCCACAACUGAACCAUGCCUGAACCACAUGAGAGGGCCCCUUGGACUGCAUCGGAAGCACAUGGGAAGCACGCAUGUUGAAUGCUUGAACCACAAAUGAACCUCAGGUGAGCCACACAUGAAACACAGCUGAGGCAUGCAUGAGCCACGUGCUAGCCAAGACUGAGUAUGUGGGGGCCACAUUUCAGCAACGUGGGAGCCACACCUGGAUGACAUGUCCCACGUGUGAUCACAUAACUGCCACACAUGGAUAAUGUGCGAUGAAUGCCUGAGUCAGGUGUGGGUCAUGCCUGCAUCAUGCAUCAGCCGCGCAUCAGAAAAUUGCCAGCCAUACCUGAAUCACCUGUCACCCACAUCCGAACCACAUGUCAGCCACACCUGAGCCAUGUGUCAACGGCGACACACCAACUGUCAGCCACACAGCAAGCAUGUGUCACUGCGGCCUGAAUGAAGCAUCACAUACCACUGGGACCCGUGUAUGACACGCCUUGAUACCAUGCCUGAAACACAUGCCAACAACACCUGAAUCUCAUGUCAGAUAUGCCUGAGCCAAGUGGCAACCAUGCCAGAGCCACGCCCCAGCAUGGCGUGAGCCUCACCUGAGACAUGUGUUAGCCAUGUGUGACAAACUCCUGAAUCAUGUGUCAGCCACACCUGGCCCCGGUCUGAGGCUCACCUGAACUACAGGUGAGCCAUGGCUGAGCCAUGCCUGCACCACGUGUGAGCCACGCCUGAAUCAAGGGUGAAACACUCCUCAACCAUAGGUGACACGCACAUGAGCUGUGUGCGAACCACACCUGGGUUACACCUGAACCAUUUGGGAGCCACACCUGAACCAUGACUGAACCACAUGAGACACACUUGAACCACAUGGGAAACACGUGUGAAGCACACAUGUUCAAGGUGUGAACGACACGUGAACCACAAGGGAGCCACUCGUGAAUCAUGUCAGGGCCAUGCGUGAGCCACAUGCCAGCCACGUCUGAUUAGGUGGGAGCCAUGGGUCAGCAGCAAAUGAGUCACAUGUGUGCCACACAUGAACGUCAGGUAAGACAUGCAUGAAACACAUGUGUGCCAGGCAUGGAUAAUGUGCGAUGAAUGCCUGAGUCACGUGUCAGCCAUGCCUGCGUCAUGUGUCAGCCACACCUGAAACACCUGGGACCCCUGCGUGAAACAUUCACCAGCAAGCCCUGAGCCACGUGAAGGCCGUGCAUAAACCAGGUGUGAGCCACACUUGCAUGAUGUGACAGGCACGCCUGUGUCACAUGGCUGCCUCACCUGAGUCAUGUGUCACCCAUGCCUGAGAAACAUGUGAGCCACGGCUCACCAACACCAAAGUCAUUCAUGAGCCACACCUGAACCAUGUGCGACACAUGUGUGACCAAAGGCUGUAACAUGUGUCAGCCACAUGGGAGCCAGUUCUGUGGCAUGCCUGCAUCACGUGUGUGCCAUGGCUGAGCUAUGCCUGUAC
This is a long non-coding RNA of Equus caballus (horse), 1863 nucleotides long. Lineage: Eukaryota; Metazoa; Chordata; Mammalia; Perissodactyla; Equidae. The record is from Ensembl.